GUGCCAGCAGCCGCGGUAAUACAGGGGGUGCUAGCGUUGUUCGGAAUUACUGGGCGUAAAGGGCGCGUAGGCGGCUUAACAAGUCAGAUGUGAAAUCCCGGGGCUUAACUCCGGACGUGCAUUUGAAACUGUUAGGCUAGAGUGCAGUAGAGGAUGGUGGAAUUCCCAGUGUAGAGGUGAAAUUCGUAGAUAUUGGGAGGAACACCGGUGGCGAAGGCGGCCAUCUGGGCUGCAACUGACGCUGAGGCGCGAAAGCGUGGGGAUCAAACAGGAUUAGAUACCCUCGUAGUCC
Molecule: ribosomal RNA, 292 nt
Filed under: uncultured bacterium
Lineage: Bacteria
Description: partial 16S ribosomal RNA
Rfam family: Bacterial small subunit ribosomal RNA
Source: RNAcentral